Non-coding RNA from Pelobates cultripes (western spadefoot toad), 221 nucleotides. Lineage: Eukaryota; Metazoa; Chordata; Amphibia; Anura; Pelobatidae. The record is from the annotation of a GenBank genome assembly.
CGACAAUAUUAGAUCCAAUAGUCCGUGCAACUGGGUUUACAUAUAACGCCAUUAUGGCUUUCUUAAUCCAACCUUCCAAUCCAUAGUGUAUUAAAACGGCUUCUAAGUAUUUCCAGCUGACUCUGUCGAAUGCUUUUUCAGCAUCAAUCGACAGAGUCAGAACUGGAACAUCUUUUCUAUUUGCAUCAUCCAGGAUAUUAAUAAUUUUCCUUAUACUUGUA